AGUGAACGCUGGCGGUAGGCCUAACACAUGCAAGUCGAACGGCAGCACAGGAGAGCUUGCUCUCUGGGUGGCGAGUGGCGGACGGGUGAGGAAUACAUCGGAAUCUACUCUGUCGUGGGGGAUAACGUAGGGAAACUUACGCUAAUACCGCAUACGACCUACGGGUGAAAGCAGGGGGCCUUCGGGCCUUGCGCGAUUGAAUGAGCCGAUGUCGGAUUAGCUAGUUGGCGGGGUAAAGGCCCACCAAGGCGACGAUCCGUAGCUGGUCUGAGAGGAUGAUCAGCCACACUGGAACUGAGACACGGUCCAGACUCCUACGGGAGGCAGCAGUGGGGAAUAUUGGACAAUGGGCGCAAGCCUGAUCCAGCUAUACCGCGUGGGUGAAGAAGGCCUUCGGGUUGUAAAGCCCUUUUGUUGGGAAAGAAAUCCAGCUGGCUAAUACCCGGUUGGGAUGACGGUACCCAAAGAAUAAGCACCGGCUAACUUCGUGCCAGCCGCCGCAGUAA
This 506-nucleotide ribosomal RNA is filed under the name uncultured bacterium. RNAcentral describes it as "partial 16S ribosomal RNA". It matches the Rfam family "Bacterial small subunit ribosomal RNA", at positions 29 to 523 of the family's 1533-position model. The record is from RNAcentral.